This 940-nucleotide ribosomal RNA is filed under the name Meripilus vitreosanguineus. Its description in RNAcentral is "Physisporinus sp. CGW-2022n partial large subunit ribosomal RNA". It matches the Rfam family "Eukaryotic large subunit ribosomal RNA", at positions 23 to 949 of the family's 3401-position model. The record is from RNAcentral. Lineage: Eukaryota; Fungi; Basidiomycota; Agaricomycetes; Polyporales; Meripilaceae.
AACCCGCUGAACUUAAGCAUAUCAAUAAGCGGAGGAAAAGAAACUAACAAGGAUUCCCCUAGUAACUGCGAGUGAAGCGGGAAAAGCUCAAAUUUAAAAUCUGGCGGUCUUUGGCCGUCCGAGUUGUAAUCUGGAGAAGUGCUUUCCGCGCUGGACCGUGUACAAGUCUCUUGGAAUAGAGCGUCAUAGAGGGUGAGAAUCCCGUCUCUGACACGGACUACCAGUGCUAUGUGAUGUGCUUUCAAAGAGUCGAGUUGUUUGGGAAUGCAGCUCAAAAUGGGUGGUAAAUUCCAUCUAAAGCUAAAUAUUGGCGAGAGACCGAUAGCGAACAAGUACCGUGAGGGAAAGAUGAAAAGCACUUUGGAAAGAGAGUUAAACAGUACGUGAAAUUGCUGAAAGGGAAACACUUGAAGUCAGUCGCGUUGUUCAGAACUCAGCCUGGCCUCGGCUUGGUGCAUUUUCUGAACGACGGGCCAGCAUCAAUUUUGACCGUUGGAUAAAGGCCAGAGAAAUGUGGCUCCUUUGGGAGUGUUAUAGUCUUUGGUUGCAUACAAUGGUUGGGAUUGAGGUACUCAGCAUGCCUUUAUGGUCGGGGUUCGCCCACGUUCAUGCUUAGGAUGCUGGCGUAAUGGCUUUAAAUGACCCGUCUUGAAACACGGACCAAGGAGUCUAACAUGCCUGCGAGUGUUUGGGUGGAAAACCCGAGCGCGCAAUGAAAGUGAAAGUUGGGAUCCCUGUCGUGGGGAGCACCGACGCCCGGACCAGACCUUCUGUGACGGAUCCGCGGUAGAGCAUGUAUGUUGGGACCCGAAAGAUGGUGAACUAUGCCUGAAUAGGGUGAAGCCAGAGGAAACUCUGGUGGAGGCUCGUAGCGAUUCUGACGUGCAAAUCGAUCGUCAAAUUUGGGUAUAGGGGCGAAAGACUAAUCGACCAUUUGUCC